Molecule: ribosomal RNA, 539 nt
Filed under: uncultured bacterium
Lineage: Bacteria
Description: bacterial SSU rRNA
Rfam family: Bacterial small subunit ribosomal RNA
Source: RNAcentral
CGGGAGGCAGCAGUGGGGAAUCUUGCACAAUGGGGGAAACCUUGAUGCAGCGACGCCGCGUGAGCGAUGAAGCCCUUCGGGGUGUAAAGCUCUUUCGGCAGGAACGAUAAUGACGGUACCUGCAGAAGAAGCUGCGGCUAACUACGUGCCAGCAGCCGCGGUAAGACGUAGGGAGCAAGCGUUGUCCGGAUUUACUGGGCGUAAAGGGCGCGUAGGCGGUCUGUUAAGUGAGAAGUGAAAUAUCCAGGGCUCAACCCGGAAACGGCUUUUCAUACUGGCAGACUAGAGGGAUGCAGAGGUAAGUAGAAUUCCUGGUGUAGCGGUGACAUGCAUUGAUAUCAGGAGGAAUACCCAUGGCGAAGGCAGCUUACUGGGCAUCAUCUGACGCUGAGGCCCGAAAGCGUGGGUAGCAAACAGGAUUAGAUACCCUGGUAGUCCACGCCCUAAACGAUGGAUACUAGGCGUAAGAGGUAUCGACCCCUCUUGUGCCGCAGCUAACGCAUUAAGUAUCCCGCCUGGGGAGUACGGCCGCAAGGUUG